Pelobates cultripes (western spadefoot toad) is the source of this 397-nucleotide non-coding RNA. NCBI's taxonomy places the organism in Eukaryota, Metazoa, Chordata, Amphibia, Anura, Pelobatidae. The record is from the annotation of a GenBank genome assembly.
GUGAUAACAGUGUGCAUGGCUUUCAUGGCUCAUGUUGAUCUAAUAUAGUUAUAGCAUUCCUGUUAUUAGCAGAUUUCCAUUUACUUUGGUAGAUACAUUAUGCUCUGGCAGUGACCGUUAAACUGACUCAGAUGGGUUUUUUUUUUUUUUAAAUGAGGAAGGAUAGUUUUUUUUUGUUUUUUUCAUACUGGUACAGCGAAGAGUGGCUAUAUUGGGCAUAGUGUCUUAUAUUGAUGAAUAGGGGUUGUGUUGGAGAUAGUGUUUUUUCCCCUAUUGUUUGCUGCUGUGAGUCUGUAUUAGAGAUGGAGUAUUCACCCCAUGUGAGUGGCUACAUUGGGAAUGGUGCCCUCUCCCCAUACUGCUCGUAUGAAUGACCUUAUUGGAAGUUAAUUUUUCC